UACCACCAGAUGGCCAGCCAAAAAGAC
RNAcentral lists this unclassified non-coding RNA (27 nucleotides) under Mus musculus (house mouse). RNAcentral describes it as "oocyte_clustered_small_RNA10739". Lineage: Eukaryota; Metazoa; Chordata; Mammalia; Rodentia; Muridae. The record is from RNAcentral.